Molecule: non-coding RNA, 7316 nt
Organism: Heterocephalus glaber (naked mole-rat)
Lineage: Eukaryota; Metazoa; Chordata; Mammalia; Rodentia; Bathyergidae
Source: RefSeq, a predicted model, not a curated record
AGGCCUUAGCUGCUUUCUCCCAACUGUGCCCUCCGGGGGACUCACUACCGGAAGCUGGCUGGAAAGACAUCAGACUUGCUCCUGCCCCUCUGGUGAGAGGAGCUUGCUCACUCCCAUAAGGAAGAGAAUCAGGGAGAAGACCAGGCUUGUGGACUAACGUCUGCAUUCAAGCCCAGCUCUGCUUGUUGGGUAAGUGCUAGCCCUGGUUGGGAUUCAGACUUCGAUCUGUAAAGCAGGGUAAGAAACCCUACCUCACAGCCAUCAACACCGUGAGCAUCAUCAUCACCAUCUCUGGACAAUUUCGGCUUGAAAAGAGUGGUAUUGCAGCUAGAAAGGCCUGCAUUCUAAUUUGACCAUUAGAACUUGGAGAAAUGGGGAGAAGCAGGUCUCCCAGUGGAGCAAUCUGGAGCUAGAAAAGAGCGUUCAGAUGUGAGUGAACAGAGGGAACAGGUAUUUUCUGGGCAUCUGCUGCCUGACAGGCUGUGCUGGGCCCUUUUACCUGGGAGCUCCUCUCCAAACCACGCACGGUUCCCUCAGCCAUACUGUACCAUGGCUUCUGCUGUGUGCCAGUCCAUGAAGCCUCUUCUCUCAUCUGUGUCUCUAGCCAGCCCUAAGAAGCAAGACCAAGGCCCUCAUCUUCACUCCUUCAACUGUUAGUGAUCUUAGAACACAGGAAGACAACCACACAGCCCACGCAGGACCUGCGGGUCCCGAUUCCAGGACAGAGCAUGUUGCCGGAAGCCAGAAGACUUAGAAGACCUCUUGCCUCCAAAGCCUGGUGACCUGAGGCCCAGUGCUGAGCUGGCCAUGGGGCAGCCUUAGGAAGGAACAUCAGACCCUGUGGGGCAGGACCUGCAGGACUGUGGCUGGAGCACCAAUGCCGAGCACGCACAGAGGUUCUGAAAAAAGUCACAUCACCAUGUCAGGCAGAGCCUGACACACACAUCAUUACUGUCAUCAUUACUGUGCAGACUCUCACCCUAGAUGGUGCCAAGACCAAAAAAAGCAUCUGCUGGUUUGCAGAGCUGGGGCCAUGCUUAGAUCAUUGUCUUGUGCUCGGCAGACAGGAGCAGGGUGAUGCUGACGUCUGGUGCUGGCAGAAAUCUGGACUCAGGCUCCGGGCUUGAGUGGAAGGGACAGAACAAAGAUCUUGGGACUCCCAUUCCAGUGGGACCUCAAGCCAUUCCUCAACAAUUUCCUGAGCGUCUACUAUGUGCCAUCCCAGAAAUAAGUCUGGCACGCAGAAACAAGUCUUCCUCUGAAGUCAAGGAGCUCGCAGAUUCCACACUGUUGGAGCCUGGCGAUUGGUACUGUGACACAGGGUAGCACAAGGUCUCUUCUUACGUGGCCCAAGGGCUUGGGGGGAGGACAAGAAAUCAGCUUGCAGGAAAGGUCUGCCAAAUUGCCUUUCCAAAUUGAAGAGUGGAUCAGGGAUAGACUGGGGUUCCAUUUAGUGGAACCACGUGGGCUAAGAGGAGGGGAGAGAAAGCAAGGACACAGAAGAGGGCCUGGGAGGACCCAAGUCUGUACAUCAUCACUCUCACAGCUCCUGGUAUGUGACAUCUGACUGCUGCAGAAGACAAGCUCUCCAUGCUUGUGGAGGACUGACUAUAAAAUUGACACAACACUUCUCCUCCAUCCACGCCUCUCUGCAAAGUGACUCUGCAGCUCCUCCCUUAAGAGGCUGUGUCCUCACCUACUUAAUCUAGGUCCACCCGAGACUCACAUCAACCACUGGAAGGGGGUAAUGACACGCGAGAGUUCUGAGCUUAGGCCUCAGGAGACCUUGCUAGCAUCUGCCUAUCUUGGAACUUUGCUCAGCCCCUGGUUGAACAAGGCCAGGCUAUUCUACUGGAUAAUGACAGGCACAUGGCCCAGUCCUCCUCAUUCCCCUCCAUUUCGCCCCACACGAAAAUCAGCCCACAGCUGAUCCACUGGUAGAUCUGGGGUGCGUCAACCUGGAAUUUUCCUAAUUUUAAAACUGGAAGUCCAACAUUCCAAGAUCUCUUCCAGUCCCAGGCAAAUGCAGGUGACUGACUGGUCAGCCAAGUUGACGACAGGUGUAUGAACAAGCCCCACCAGCACUGUAGGAAGUUGUGCAUAGCACUGAUCAUGAGAGGGAAGGCACUGAAGUUCCAGGAGGUGAAGAAGCCUCCCAGUGUCUUAAAGCCAGUGUGUGCCGACAAUGGAACACCGAUCCAGGGCUUGAAUCUUUCCCCUCCACCAAGCUGCCUCUUUAAUCAGCAUAUUUGUGCUGUAGUAACUCAAGCUCCCCUGGAGACUGUUAAUUUAACAAGUCUCUGGUCAAGCUUGGGCUCUCUGAGAUGGUUUUCUUUACAAGAUCCAGUGUCAGGCCAUGUGAUAUAACCCCUCCCCUGAAGGAUGAUGAGACCAAUACUUAACCACAAGCCACCACCAAUUCUGCUGUGGUCAGAGACCAGGGCAAAGGCAGACACUUGACUGUCAGCGAAAGAUGUGUGUUUAGGACUGCCUGGUGCAACCUGUGUUCCUGGUACCAUCCAGGUUGAAAGCCACAUAGACUUUGUGAACAAGAAGCUGGCAGACAGGGAUCUUGGUUCUAAUUCUGACACACACCAGCUGCAUGACCUUGGUCAAGUCACUGUCCUUGUUCAGCAGACUUGGCAUCAAUAGAUUAUUUAAAACCCAGGCUAUUCACUGUGAAUUCUUUAAGGUCUGGGAGCGUGGCUUAUUCACUUUGGUAUCCAGUACCCAGUAUGGUGCUUUGGACCUGCUCAGUAAACAAGUUCUGGUUAAAUAUAUAUGAUAGCAGGAUAUCCCAUGGGAAAUUACCUUCCCCCCUCAAUAGAGCAAGAAGUCUCUAGCAAUUUGGGUAGGAAAAGGGACCCCGGCAGACUAAUUUGGAAGAAAGGCAAGUUUUUUUCUCCUUUACGAAGGAAAAAUAUGACUGGACUUUGUGUUUCCAGUGUUUGGACAUCUUUGUCCCUAAGGAUAUUUGGCUGGCUUUACGGUGUUCCUCCUUGUUUAGUCAUUCUGAACAUAUAUGAGAUGGUGGAACCUUAGGGUUUUGGGAGGAAAAGGUUGCUAAGGGAGCCUGGUGACCUCAGGAGUCUAGUAGGAACACCAGGAGCAAAAUAUGCAUCAAGAAGACCCCUCUCCUUCCAAGGGCCAUGCAGGCUUGGGUAGGAAGCUGGGCAAGUAAGACUUCCUGCAUCAGGGUUUCAGCACUGGGCAGACUGUCAUGGGCCCAUGGCUUCCCAUCAGGCAAAUUGGUGACCACAGCAGUGGCUCCAGUAAUAGCAGAGUUUUCCACACCUUGGCAGUACUAUGGGUUGAGCUGCAUCUACCCAAAAUUUGUAUGUUGAAGUUUAACCCCAGUAAUUCAGAAUGUGAUCUUAUCUGGAAUUAGGAUCAUUGUUGAUAUAAUUACUUAAAUGAGGAUGAGAUCAUAUCCGAGUAGUGUGGGCUCCUAAUCCAAAUGACCAGGGUCCUAGUAACAUGGAGAAAUCUGGACACAGGUGUGAACCAGGGAGAACAUGUGUAGAGAUGAAAGCAGAGACUGGGGCUGUGCAGUGACAAACUCAGGAACCUCAAAGGCUGCCAGCAAACUGCCAGAAGCUAGGGGUGUGUGUGUGUGUUCUCCCUCAGAGAGCCCUCAGCUGGAACCAACUUGCUGACACCUGGCCUUAGGACUCCCAGCAAACUACUGCACGACAGGCAGUCUGAGAGACCAUCUUCAUGGUUGAGAGGGGACAAUGUGAGUUUCCUUUGUUGUAGGACAAGUCAAGGGAGAGGAAGUGGGGAAGGAGACCAUGAGAAAAACCAGUCUGGACUUGCAUUAAUUCUGAGAAAUAAAGAACAAUGACCCCAAUUCCCUGGCUCCACCAGUAUCAGGAUCACGAAGCCCUUUCCCCUUUCACCAAAGAGAUAUAAGUGUCAAGGUGGAAGUAAUCCCAGAGAGGUAUCAUUCCCCUUUUGCCAGGUGAGGAGAUGCAGGUCCUGAAAAGUGAAGUAUUUUUGUCAGCAGGAGGAGACAGAGCUGGGACUACAACUUGGGUAUCUGUAAAUGUCUUUCUCCAAAUAUCAACAUGCCUCACCCAGCGAACAUACAGAGCUGUGGCAUUUGCAUGAAAUGCUAAAGCCUCAGUGGGCAUAAUUGUAUAUUUAGAAAUUCUCAAGAAGACAGGCGGCGGGAAAAGUGGAUCUUUCCAUUUUCACAAAUUAUUUUGAGAGCCAGGACAAGUGAGGAUUCUUUUUCCAAGACUGAGAGAAAACCUAGCUGUGAAGAAGCUGUCAGAAAUAAGUGUACUGUACAAAGCCUUUGAUCUGCAAAACGAUGAACCAUUAGAUCCCCUUAAAUAGAGAGUCCCCAUGGGCCAAUUAGGAAUGGUGUUUUAGAAAUCAUUAAUGACUGGGGGGUAGGGCUGGAGAAAGGAAGAGGAAGACAUGGAAACCAGAGUUCCAUUCUAGGGUGGGAGCCACCAGGCAUGGAAGAUGAAUCAGACAGCAGAGGAACGUAACCUAAAAUAAUCGUGUAAGUUAAUGAGCAAAGAAGAUUCAGCUCUUGGACAAAUCUUCAUUAACGCUGCUAAUGCUGAUUGAUGCUUUACAUUUAUCUAGUGUUUUUCACAUUCCAAAGCACUUUUCCAACAAUUCUCUAUAAGCUCAAGAUUCUCUCUAAGCUAGAGUGACUAAGUACUUUAUCAUCCAAAAACCGGUCACUUUGGAGGACGAGAGGAAGCAUUCUUAAUAAUCACAUAGGGUCAGCAGGUUUAAACUAGGACUGUCAUAGGCAAACAGGGAUGAAUGGUCAGCCUACUACACCUCCAAAAGUGAAUGGCUAAGCAAGGAUCCCAUCUCCAUGGAUUCACCCAUUCAUUCCUCAAACCUGCCCCUCCAUAGCUUUAUCUGUAUCCAUUCAGUUGCUCAAGUAAAAGCACAGGCCACUCUGAAGUCUAAACUUUCUCUCUCUGAUCUAUCCCCACCAGCUCCAACCACCAGCUGACCCUGACAAGUGUAUGUGCAAGUUGUAUCACCACUUGUCCAUCUGUGUCCUUUUUAAAUUAAGUUUAUUGGUACAUUUUAGGUAUAAACAAUACACGUAAAUGAUAUAUGAUACACCUUGAUUCUUAGUCCAUCUGUGUCCCUCUUCUCUGAUUCCACCUUAGUCCCCAGCAUCGUUGCUUCUCAUCUAGAGAGCAGCAAGAGCCUUUGAAUCCAUCUCCCCACUCUCACCCUUGUCCUUCUUAGGCAAAAUAAUUUUUGAAAAAUUUAAAUCUCAUCAUGUUUACUCCUUGCUCAGAAUAUUACAGCAGCUCUCUACUGUAUGGAGAAUAAAAAACUAAACUCUAGAUCUACACCUUGUAUCUUUGCUCAGCAAGUAUUUGUUAAAUAAUGAAGAAAGUCAACGAGUAUUUACUGAGUAUAGUAUAUGGAUUAGGAUCAUGCAAAUUUUACCCUCUAGUUUCUGUGUUACCUAUGUCACUGUUGGGAAGAAAAUUUCAUCCUAACUUCUAACAUUAAUUUCCAUAUGAAAGGAGCUCCCCCAGGGCCCCUCUUAGUUUCUCUCUGUCCCUUUAAGACACAAGUAGUGGAAUGAGUGUCAUUGGUGGUAAACUGAGGAAGAAUAAAUUGGGCCACGUUCUCUUCCUCCUGACAGCUGGAAAUACUUCUGUUGUUCCUAGUGGCUGGCUCUUCCUCUGCCCCAUCCAGCAUUGCCCAGGACUGGGUGGAUAACUCUGUUUAACUCUGGGUCAAAUUAUGACCUUUACUGGCUGUCACACUAAAUGAAGUUAUUCAUUAUCAUUAACUGCAUGAUAUUUUGCCUUCCACCUGUCACUUUAUUUCUCAGUGUGUCCAAACUCAGGUAGAGAGAGGGAUGCUACUUAUUUGCCUCCUCUAGACUUCAAAUGUCCUUUGAGAGACAGGAGAAACCCGUUGCAUAAAGCCUAGUAUAGAGCUGCUGGCAACCCAAGGGUAUGACCAAUCUGGGACUGAAGAAAUGAAAGCUGUAACAGUGCGGUUGCCGCCUGAGCGAGGAUCAUGUGGGACUCAGUGAAAACUGAAGUACAAAUUUAGCAGCCACAUUUAGCCCAGAAGAAUGUCUUCAGGAAUGAAUCACGAAGGGAAUAUUGUCAUUUGUGCAAAGAAAUGGAGGCUUAUAAGGGAAAAGGUGGCUAGAGAUUCUCGUUUAUGUUUAUGAAAACAGAUGGCCCUUUUGAAAAACGGAAAGCCAAAACAAAAGCAUCAUUUAUUCCAGGAGUUAAGAGAUUUCUCUAUUGACAUCACAUAAAAACUCAUCUCUUAUGGUUUUUAACCCCCUGGAGAAUUUGUAAAUAGCAUCUCUUAAAAUAAAAGCAAAAAGAGUUUUCAAAAGGAUUUAAGUUACAUAAGAUUAACUUGGUUCCCGCUCUCCCCCAUCAAUUUAUCUUCCCUGGGUCUGCUCUUUGCCAGGGUGCUGCUGCUGCUGCAAAUCUUCAACCACUGGGAGUGGCUUGCAAAGGUGGCAAAUGUGAACCCUAGUCCAGGAAGCCCUCAGGGGAGGGACACCCUGACUCUUCUACUUUCCCAGGUCUCGCAGAGCCCUACAGCAAGUGGAAGACUGGGACAAAACUGUGACUCAUUGCCUCACCAUCUUGAAUUCUUCUUCAAACUAUUCUUCCCUUGACCUUCAGACUCUGACUUAAAACAAAACAAAAAAUUGCUGUCCAUGCCCAUGCCUAGGGCUGAGCUUAUUGCAUGUCUCCCCACUCCUGCUCUGUGCCCUGGAAGGCUGCUCAGUAAGCACAGGGUCAGCUGGCUCCCUCUGGCUUCCAGGUGCAAGGAGCCAAUGGCAGGAUCUGGCGGGAAUUCUGAGGAGGUUGGGAGGAGAAUGACCUUGGGCUAUUUAUCCUCUGGAUGCCCUCCCUGCUGGGCUGUACCUUGGCAGUCUGCUGAGUUUCCAUUUAGGUGGCAUAACUCCUGAGGGUGGCUCUUUGCUACAACUACAACACAGCGACAACUUUCUCCAGGGUCCAGUACUGCUCUCUUCCCUUGUCCAUCAGGCUAGAAGUAACAGUUCCUAGCCAUUGCCAGCCUGAGUGGCCCACCAGCCUCUGCAGUUGUUUUUAAUCCUGCUCACACGUUUACUAUACGCUCCUCAAUUGCAUCAUCUCCAAGUGCCAUUGUUACUUGCCAAGAUUCUGAUUAAUAUACUGUAUCUCUUUGUCAAUAGCUAUGUCUAGCUUUGUUUGAUUUCAAAUAGAGUUGUAUUUUGUUCUUUUCCUUCUUCAUCAAUCUUCUUGAACAAAUACCCAGAAACUUUGAGCUCAGAAGUGCUCAGCUGUCUAACCUGGUGG